UCGACCUCAGAUCAGGCGAGACAACCCCCUGAAUUUAAGCAUAGAAUUCAC
This 51-nucleotide ribosomal RNA is filed under the name Ixodes loricatus. Its description in RNAcentral is "partial 28S ribosomal RNA". Lineage: Eukaryota; Metazoa; Arthropoda; Arachnida; Ixodida; Ixodidae. The record is from RNAcentral.